CUCGUAGGCGGUUUGUCACGUCGUCUGUGAAAUCCUGCAACUCAAUUGUAGGCGUGCAGGCGAUACGGGCAGACUUGAGUACUACAGGGGAGACUGGAAUUCCUGGUGUAGCGGUGAAAUGCGCAGAUAUCAGGAGGAACACCGGUGGCGAAGGCGGGUCUCUGGGUAGUAACUGACGCUGAGGAGCGAAAGCGUGGGGAGCGAACA
This 207-nucleotide ribosomal RNA is filed under the name uncultured bacterium. RNAcentral's name for it is "partial 16S ribosomal RNA". It matches the Rfam family "Bacterial small subunit ribosomal RNA", at positions 568 to 774 of the family's 1533-position model. The record is from RNAcentral.